GGGUUAGCUGCGCAAAAUACUCAUCCUGUGACAAGUGGUAUCAGAGCUAAGGUUUGCACGCACGCAAGUUAGCUCACGAAGCAAUGGCCAACCCUUCGAACGUAGCACAAGAGGGUGUUGUUGGUGUGGAUGUUCCACCGGAACCAAGCCGCGGCCGAGAGGGAGAACGCGCCCAAGGCAAGACUCGCAGCAAGUCCAAGGCCCCAUCCGUGGAUGCGUUGGAGCCUCGUGUGGCUAUUCUCGAAAUCGCAUUGUCCGCCGCUCAAGAUAGCCUCGAGGGACUGGAGGAAAGAGUGGAUGGUCUCGAGGGGGAAUACGCCGAGUUCACGGUGGCAACAAAGGCUCUCAUCCAAGAGCAAGCGAAUACUCUUCGAGGUGAGUUUCGUGCUUUUCAUGAUGAGUUGCUCAAACUUCGUAGUUUUGUUCAGGACGAACUACGCGCUGUCCGUGCAGAAGUAGAUGAAGUCCGCUCGGAUUGGGCAUGGCACAAGCGCACACUCUCUAUAAGUCCAAUUUCCGCAAACUCGAGUGAUGCGCGCCGCAUUGACGUGCCAAAGCCCGACACUUACGAUGGCACACGCAACGCCACAGUCGUGGACAAUUUCCUCUUUGGGCUUGAUCAAUACUUCGAUGCCAUGGGUGUACGAGACGAGGCAUCGAAAGUGGGCAUUGCACCCACCUACCUUAGAGGCACUGCACAACUAUGGUGGCGUCGCAAGCAUGGCGAGAUGGGCAAGGGCAUUUGCACCAUCGACACUUGGGCCGACUUCAAGCAAGAACUCCGAAAGCAGUUCGCCCCAAGCAAUGCGGAAAAGGAAGCGCGAGCGCGCUUACAUCGCCUCAAGCAAUCGGGUAGCAUUCGGGACUACAUCAAUGAGUUCACUAUCCUUAUGUUGGAGAUAAGCGACAUGUCCGACAAGGAUUCACUUUUCUACUUCCAAGAUGGCCUCAAGGAUUGGGCCAAGACCGAGCUUGAUAGGCGUGGUGUUCAAACACUUGACGACGCCAUCGCCAUUGCGGAGUCGCUCACCGAAUACUCCGCCCAGGUCAAGGACAAGAGGUCUAGCUACGACCAAAGUGGGGGAGAGAGUCAUGAGGACAACAACCGCAAUUGCAAGGAAUGGAGCAAGAAAAAGCCUCCAAGCGGCAAGGACGGGCAAAGUAAGUCCGAGAAGCCACCCAAGCCUCGAAGCCCAUGCUUCAUUUGCAAUGGCUCUCAAUGGGUGCGCGACUGCUCGGAGAAAAAGUCGUUGAAUGCCCUCGUGGCACAACUUAAGGGCCAACGCACACCGACUGCGGAGGAACCUCAACACAACUUGGGUUCGCUCCAACGCCUUAGCACACUCGUGAGCCAACCGCCAGAACCUACAAGGAAAGGGCUCAUGUUCGUAAGUGUGCUCAUCAAUGGCCGAACCGUUCGUGCGCUCCUUGACACCGGAGCAACGCACAACUUCAUCUCCAAAACUAGGCCUCAAGGUAAUGCAGCACGGAGGCACCAUCAAGGCUGUAAAUUCGCCUGCCAAGCCAUUUGCGGGAAUCACACGAGGCGUGCACGUUACGCUUGGGACAUGGAAUGGGAAGCUCGACUUCUCGAUUGUGCCGAUGGAUGACUUCACAAUGAUCCUUGGCAUGGAAUUCUUCGACAAGGUACAUGCCUUCCCACUUCCAGCAACAAACUCCCUUAGCAUCUUCGAUGGGAGUAAGGCAUGCGUGGUACCGGUCGAGCGCGCACAACCCGCAGAAAAGGCGCUCUCGGUCAUGCAGUGCAGACGAGGAUUCAAGAAGAAUCCGGACCACUUGGUCUCCAUCCGACAACACCGUAAGGGAGAGGAUUCCGAAAGCCCUCCAAGCCAAGUCCCACAACAAGUACGAGCCGUCAAUGACAAAGGCAAGGACGCUAUGCCUCCGAAGCUCCCACCGAGAUGAGUGGCUGAGCAACGCACAAAGCCAGAGCAUAAGGGGUUGCGGAAACACAAGAGGGGACGCCGCAACACCAACCGAAAGAAGGAAACAACCACAUGCGGAGCAAGUGGCGGAACCUCCCCAAGAGUGAAGCACACGAAGACUAACGACAAAUCACGGAACAAGUCCCCCAAGGAGCAAGGACGAGAUCGCGACGAGGACGCCGCGAGCUUAGGUGGGGGAGGAUGUUACGGUCCGCCCAAUUCGCUAGCCCAAUUGCCCAUAAUUUCGGGCUAGAGAGCCAACACAAGGCCAAGAGUGCUAGCUUGGCCCAAUUCCGGAACAUUCUAGGCAACUCUAGCACAUGAGCUUGUAAAUACUCUAGAAUUCUCCAUAGAAUUCCAGCACAUGUAAAUAGCUAGGAAAUGGUAGAAUUCUCUAGAAUCUCUAGAACUUGGCAAGCCUCCCCUAUAAAUAUGGGAUGGCAUUAGGCAUUUGUAUCCAACAAACACUACAACAAGCAUUGUAAUCUCUCUUUGUGCAAUACAAGUUUCUUCUUUGGCUCAAUUGCUCUCUUCUCUAUUCCGAGAAGCUCUAGGCUUACUUAGCAACAUUCGGCAAAGUUGUCUAAGUGCCGCACGGGUUAGCUGCGCAAAACACUCAUCCCGUGACACUACGCUCUGUAUACAUUAGCAUGGGAUAACAUCAUA
Molecule: long non-coding RNA, 2612 nt
Filed under: Citrus sinensis (sweet orange)
Lineage: Eukaryota; Viridiplantae; Streptophyta; Magnoliopsida; Sapindales; Rutaceae
Description: long non-coding RNA (CSIN_LNC004467)
Source: RNAcentral